AUUGAACGCUGGCGGAAUGCUUUACACAUGCAAGUCGAGCGGCAGCGCGGGGCAACCUGGCGGCGAGCGGCGAACGGGUGAGUAACAUAUCGGAACGUAUCCUUAAGUGGGGGACAACCUAGCGAAAGUUAGGCUAAUACCGCAUACGCAGGGAACUGGAAAGUGGGGGACCGCAAGGCCUCACGCUUUUGGAGCGGCCGAUAUCAGAUUAGCUUGUUGGUGAGGUAAAGGCNCACCAAGGCGACGAUCUGUAGCUGGUCUGAGAGGAUGAUCAGCCACACUGGGACUGAGACACGGCCCAGACUCCUACGGGAGGCAGCAGUGGGGAAUUUGGACAAUGGGGGCAACCCUGAUCCAGCCAUUCCGCGUGAGUGAAGAAGGCCU
This 384-nucleotide ribosomal RNA is filed under the name uncultured bacterium. RNAcentral describes it as "bacterial SSU rRNA". It matches the Rfam family "Bacterial small subunit ribosomal RNA", at positions 30 to 417 of the family's 1533-position model. The record is from RNAcentral.